RNAcentral lists this ribosomal RNA (718 nucleotides) under uncultured Enterobacteriaceae bacterium. RNAcentral describes it as "bacterial SSU rRNA". It matches the Rfam family "Bacterial small subunit ribosomal RNA", at positions 783 to 1502 of the family's 1533-position model. Lineage: Bacteria; Pseudomonadati; Pseudomonadota; Gammaproteobacteria; Enterobacterales; Enterobacteriaceae. The record is from RNAcentral.
UACCCUGGUAGUCCACGCUGUAAACGAUGUCGAUUUGGAGUUUGUUGCCUAGAGUGAUGGGCUCGAAGCUAACGCGAUAAAUCGACCGCCUGGGGAGUACGGCCGCAAGGGUGAAACUCAAAUGAAUUGACGGGGGCCCGCACAAGCGGUGGAGCAUGUGGUUUAAUUCGAUGCAACGCGAAGAACCUUACCUGGUCUUGACAUCCAUAGAAUUCUGCAGAGAUGUGGGAGUGCCUUCGGGAACUACGAGACAGGUGCUGCAUGGCUGUCGUCAGCUCGUGUUGUGAAAUGUUGGGUUAAGUCCCGCAACGAGCGCAACCCUUAUUCUUUGUUGCCAGCGAUUUGGUCGGGAACUCAAAGGAGACUGCCGUUGAUAAAGCGGAGGAAGGUGGGGACGACGUCAAGUCAUCAUGGCCCUUACGACCAGGGCUACACACGUGCUACAAUGGCGUAUACAAAGGGAAGCGGAGGUGCGAGCUGGAGCGGAUCUCAUAAAGUACGUCUAAGUUCGGAUUGGAGUCUGCAACUCGACUCCAUGAAGUCGGAAUCGCUAGUAAUCGUAGAUCAGAAUGCUACGGUGAAUACGUUCCCGGGCCUUGUACACACCGCCCGUCACACCAUGGGAGUGGGUUGCACCAGAAGUAGAUAGCUUAACCGCGAGGGGGGCGUUUACCACGGUGUGAUUCAUGACUGGGGUGAAGUCGUAACAAGGUAACCA